This 497-nucleotide ribosomal RNA is filed under the name uncultured bacterium. RNAcentral's name for it is "partial 16S ribosomal RNA". It matches the Rfam family "Bacterial small subunit ribosomal RNA", at positions 28 to 507 of the family's 1533-position model. The record is from RNAcentral.
GAUGAACGCUGGCGGCGUGCCUAAUACAUGCAAGUCGAGCGAACAGAUGAGGAGCUUGCUUCUCUGACGUUAGCGGCGGAAGGGUGAGUAACACGUGGAUAACCUACCUAUAAGACUGGGAUAACUUCGGGAAACCGGAGCUAAUACCGGAUAAUAUAUUGAACCGCAUGGUUCAAUAGUGAAAGACGGUUUUGCUGUCACUUAUAGAUGGAUCCGCGCCGCAUUAGCUAGUUGGUAAGGUAACGGCUUACCAAGGCGACGAUGCGUAGCCGACCUGAGAGGGUGAUCGGCCACACUGGAACUGAGACACGGUCCAGACUCCUACGGGAGGCAGCAGUAGGGAAUCUUCCGCAAUGGGCGAAAGCCUGACGGAGCAACGCCGCGUGAGUGAUGAAGGUCUUCGGAUCGUAAAACUCUGUUAUUAGGAAAGAACAAAUGUGUAAGUAACUAUGCACGUCUUGACGGUACCUAAUCAGAAAGCCACGGCUAACUACGUG